AUUUGUGAAAAAUGACUUGACAUCUUUAGCAACAUUUUCCCAGUAUUCUCUUGCCCUUUUAGAUUUGAGAAGCCCAGCAACCACAACAAUAGUUAGUGGUAACCCUUGACAUUUCUGUGCAAUUUGCUUCCCAAUAGUCUCGAACUCAGAUGGUAAUGCUUCAUUUGCAAAUGCUAUACUUUUAAAAAGGUUCCAACACUCAUCCGAACCCAUUAAAUCCAUCUGCAAAGAAAGAUUCUCUGUACCAGCAUCGUGAGCUACUUCAGUGUUACGGGUCGUCAAUAAUAUUCCACUCCCCUCUUUUUCACUUGGAAAACAUAGUCUCACACAUCUUGCUGGAAUUUUAGCAAAGAGGUACUUCAUAUGUGCCUGUACAGCUUCUUGAUAAUAGUCCAUGGGGGUACAUUCAGUAUUUUUGCUUCUAGGGAACACACAUCUUGCUGGAAUUUUAGCAAAGAGGUUUAGUUGUUUAUUUUUCUUUAUCAAGAAAAACUAAACUGUAUGACUAUGACCGGGGAGGGUAGAGUGUAUGCGAACUUUACCCCUACCCUAGAGGUAGAAAGGUUGUUUCUGAUAGACGAGGAAAAAACAAAUGUGAAAUAAUAACAAAGCAUGCUGAAUAGUAACUAAAAAAAUGGGUGCGCAGAUACGACUUAUAUAAAUGCUUGCAUUUGAAGUUUAUGACAAAAGAAAAUAAACUUGUAUGGAGAAAAAGAGAACAGAACGAAUGCAGUGUCCCGAUCUAUCCAUAAUCUCACAAAUUUCUUCACUGAAAUCUCACUGUCAUAUUUGAAAAAUUCCGAAAAAAAAGAAGGCAUGUAAACGUUGUUCAUCAGGAUCAUCUAUUGCAAAUUACUUUAUAUCUUCAGCAAUGUAGUACCUCUUAUCAUUUAAACCUUUUGGUAUCAUAUCUGCUAGCUUUGCCGCUAACGGAACAUCAACAGUAAAAAGUAACACAUGAGAAUCACCAUAUAAAUGCACAUUUCCGUUCAUCUAAUAAAUAAUGCUACCAACUAAAAUGAGUGUGCGAUCGUGUUAACCAUUGAGGGCUCAUGAACUCAGAACUUCAGUAAUGCCCAACUGAGUAAUGUUACUAAAGAUUGUAUCAACGCAAAUAUAUAUUACAAUGCAUAAGGGAUCACAUCUCCUCGGAAGCCACACGUUGCUUGAAACCGAUAAUUUAGUGGUAAUUUACGACAGAGGAACCGAAAUGAAAUCCCAAGAGUUCAAUCCUUGAACUCCUCAAAAAUAUUCUUCCAAAUCAUAAUCACUCUCCUCGACUGAAAAGAAACAAUAAAGGGUCAGUAGAAGUUCGACAAGUCAAAUUAUUCAGAUGCAGAUUUAGAGCGUGUUCAACGAAACUCACAUCUUUCAACUCAACUUCAUGUGAGAACACACAUACACACACUGACAGACACAAGUAUAUGAUAAUCAUUUAAAAAGUGUGACAAAUUUUUUGCAUCUGCCGACUCUAUAUUAUGGAUCGUCAAUAAAGCAUCUUGAGCAAAUCAUACGGGGAUAUGUGAGAUGUAAUCGACUUGAGUUCUUUCUCUUUGACUAAGAAAAGUUUUAACUGAGGAUUCUGCAUUCAGUUUCAGAAAGUUUAUGCAAUCUGAUAUAUAAUAUUGCACUUAUCAGCUAAAAAGGAUGUCAAAAAUACGUUAAAAUUUAGUUCAGGCGGAUAAUAGGACCCCGUGAAGUUGGAGCAAAUUUAUUAUCAUGUACUAAUUUUGUUUUUUUUGCUAAUAUCACUAGUUAUUUUGGUUAUUGUAAAAGAAAAGAACUUUUUGAGACUAGAACUUGGUAACUGUUUAUUAACUAUUCAGCAGUAUGUAUCAUUUACACAAGCAAUGAAUAUGAAUAAAUAUUUUGUUCGUACAUUAGUUCAUUUAAGUAGAUAAAUAUUAUUUCAUAUUUAUUUUUGCAAUAGUGUCUAUGAAUAUAAUUAUGAACACAUUAAAUAUGCGACCUAAAAUACAAUAUCUUUAGUAAAUAGAGUUACUAGAAGAAAACAACAAAACAAAAUAAAGUUACUUAUAAUGAAAUAAAUAAAUUUAAUUUUUUUUGGAUGGGAGAUACUUUGAAGGAGCCGGGAACAAAGCUGAAAGAUUUAUUGAAAGUUGGAAAUGGUGGCCAGCUAACAAUAUUUAAAAAUUUAUACAUGGUAUUUAGCUUCUUGAUAUUUCAAUUAUUUCAUAAAAAAGUUGAUUCCAAGUAAACCUUAUUUUACUAGAAUUUAUACAAUCGAUACCUUAAAAUUCGUGUGCAAUGGCAACAAAGAGAGCAAACAUCUACUCUUCAUUUUUCAUUUUGUUUUUAUUGUAAUUUAAUGACAAGGUUGGACAUUAGCUGCCCAAACAACCCAUUUGCCACUCCUAUGAGUAACAAUUAGAACAAAUGUGCUCACAUUUAGUACCAAAAUUGCUCAAAAAUAUAUUUAUGGGGCCAUUUUGAACUACCCUCAAAUAUAAAGGAUAUUCUUGUUAAUUUCUCUUAUAUUUUAAGAUUUUAACCAAAUUUUGUCAAAGUUACUUUUGUGAAAGAAUAUGGGGCAAAACUAAAUAACUUUUGUGUACGACUUGACUUGUGGAAAUGAGAAAUAGGGUGUGACCUUGAUAAAUACUAUACACUUACAUGGAUCAUAGAUACGAACAUCCACGGGGUUGUUUCCGAUGUCUUCUUGUUCUUUUUGAAUUUGUGCAGCAGAUUCCCCAAGUCCGGGAAGACACCAAUUUAACUCAAUCAGUUGUAGUGAGUGGAUUUCUGCAAACUCAAUGGGUAUCUUAUCUAAAUAAUAGCAACAUCUAAGCCCAAGGCGCUCAAGGACAGAAAAAUUGUCAUCUGUGGCUUUCCAGUACUUGAGAUCAUUAUGUUCAAUUAACAAAAGCUUCAAUCGAUAAAAUCCCAUGCCCGUUGGACGCCAUUCUUCUCCAUCACAAGCACCAGACAUCAGCUUGAGCACCUCAAGGCAGCUAUGAUGUCCAAGUACGACCAACUUAGAUAAGUACUUUUUAACUUCAGCGCGUUGAUGGAAAAGCUUUUGCACUUGCUGGCCAAAAUCCUCCAAAACGAUAUGUAAGACUCAAUGUUUCAAGUUGCUGCAGAUGGACAAGAUUGUUGAGAAGCCCACCAGAAGAGUCAAUCUGAUAUGCACUGAGCCCUAAUUCUUUGACAUUCUGAAUCCUCAUAAUAAACUCCUUCGUGCAACAACAUGCAGACAUGGAAUAAAUAGUUUGUAUGUUUGAAAAACCCAUGUGACUCCCUUUGUCAGCAGAUACGCUUGGGGAAUUUGGCAGAUAAAAUUCGGGCAGUUUGAGAUGCCUUAAUUGCAUUAGUCCCAAAAUUUCCUCAGGAAAAGUUAUUUUCCAUAGCAUAGGCCCUUGAACAAUGAAUGUAUGCAGAUUCCAUAACCUGCAAACUUCUGGAGGUAUAUUUGCAACAUUUUCCCAGUCUUCUAUUGCCCUUUUAGAUUUGAGAAGCCCAGCAACCACAGCAAUAGUUAGUGGUAACCCGUGACAUUUCUCUGCAAUUUGCUUCCCAAUAGUCUCGAACUCAGAUGGUAAUGCUUCAUUUGCAAAUGCAACACUUUUAAAAAGGUUCCAACUCUCAUCCGGACCCAUUAAAUCCAUCUGCAAAGAAAGAUUCUCUGUACCAGCAUC
Molecule: long non-coding RNA, 3659 nt
Filed under: Capsicum annuum
Lineage: Eukaryota; Viridiplantae; Streptophyta; Magnoliopsida; Solanales; Solanaceae
Description: long non-coding RNA (CANN_LNC010718)
Source: RNAcentral